RNAcentral lists this unclassified non-coding RNA (218 nucleotides) under uncultured Tomentella. RNAcentral describes it as "sequence contains ITS2". The record is from RNAcentral. Lineage: Eukaryota; Fungi; Basidiomycota; Agaricomycetes; Thelephorales; Thelephoraceae.
ACACCUCAACUCUCAUGGCUUGCCAUGAUGAGCUUGGACUUUGGGGGUCUUGUUGGCCUGUGAGCCAGCUCCCCUUAAAUGGAUUAGCUUGCCGGUGUUUGGUUGCAUCACAGGUGUGAUAACUAUCUACGCUUGUGGUUUCCCAUCAGGUAACCUUCAGCAAUGGAGGUUCGCCGGGGCUUAUAAAUGUCUCUCCUCAGCAAGGACAGAUUUUGACC